Molecule: long non-coding RNA, 3227 nt
Organism: Homo sapiens (human)
Lineage: Eukaryota; Metazoa; Chordata; Mammalia; Primates; Hominidae
Gene: EIF1B-AS1
Product: EIF1B antisense RNA 1
Source: Ensembl
GUUCAAGCGGCCGCAGAGCGGCCCAGAGUUCGCAGGUCUGGGGCUCUCUUCCCAGAGAGCUCGUAGGGGAGGACAGUCAAGGGACUCAAGCGUCUCUCUUGACUCCCCUUCUCUCGCUGUGCAGUGGCGGCGCCGAGGGGUCGACGCUCAGGGCUAAUCUCUAUGAGUCACCCUCGAGGCCCCGGGUAAUAUUGGGUGGAUCACAAGAACUAAUCUUUCAUGAUUUGGAAACCGGAAGGAAAGAAGCACUUUUGUAGCUGACUUACCUCAAUGACAUGACCAGUGUCUGAGCCUACAACUGCGCUAUCUUCCCUGGAUUUUUCUUCACCUUUUCCUUACUCAUGAGCCAGAUGGAGCUAAGAUUGGAACUGAGGUCUGGCUAUAAAGCUGCCUUUAUGUCCAUCGCAUCCUAAGGGCUGCUGUUGCUCUUCUGCCUCUACACUGAUGGACUACGUCAGAACAUCAAUAUGCUGUAUUGAUGAUAAUGGAUGAUAUUUUCUUAGUUGUGCCAAUAUUACUCUUGAGGGAAGAAAUGAUGCCAAGCACUUAAAAAAUAUUGUGCCACUUCCUUCUGGCCUCCAUGGUUUGAGAUGGAGAACUCUGCUGUCACCCUCAUUGAUCUUUCCCUGUAAGUAAUGCAUUGUUUCUAUGUGCUUUCAAUUUUUUUCUUUAGCCUUUAGAAGUUUAAUUAUUAUUUGUCUUGGCAUAGAUCUGGAUGUAUUUGCUUUUCUAUGUUGUGUACCAGGUCUGGUAUCUAGGGAGUCCAAAAGGCAGAGACUCUUCUCUGAUAAUUCAGUAUUCUUCUUCCCUUUGCCCCUUACCACCUAUACUAUGCUUUACUAUUACUGAAGAUGGAAAUUAAGAUGAAGAGAAGGGGAAAAAGGAAGAAGGAAGAAUAAGGAAGAAAGCAAUCUUAGCCACAUUGGGCCCUCCAGGACUGUGCUUCUUCCCUUCUGGCCUCCAACACUGACAAAUCUACCUUUGUCUAACCAGCUCCCCAAUCCUUCAAGAGGAACUAUAAUGCCACAUCUGUCAUCCCUACUGUCUGAAUGAAGACCCACUCACAGCAUUAGACUUUCAGCAUUCCCUGACUGGAAUCACACAAUAAUCUGUUUGUUCCUUCUCUAGGCCAUGAGCCCCACAGACAUAGAAUUAUGCCUGUUUUGUUCAUAUCUGACUCCCUAAUUCUGGAAUACAGUGCACAGCAGCCACUCAUUAAAUAGGUGUUGAAUGAAUGACUAAAUUCCUGUGAGCUCCCUCAUGAGCUAGCAAGAGAUUUUGUUUUCUAAUCUUGGCUAAACUCAAAUGUCCGUUAAAUGUAAGAUAAUGCUCAGCUUCUUUAAAUUUGGCUCCCCACUCGAAUGAUCCAAUAUUAUUCUGGCCUAUUUUACGGGUAGAAGCCUUGAUUUUCACCUGAUUUUAUCUUAUUAAGUGUCUUAUUACAGAAGGAGUUAUGGGACCAUUUCCCGAAAUUUAUCUGCAAAAGAAAUGCAGUUGCCUUCAUGAGCAUCGAGAUGAAAAAUGUAUCCAUUACACAUGCCAUUUCCUUCAUGAUUAGGAGGCCCAUUUAAAGGAGCCAUAUCAGGACGGUGAAAAAGUUAGUUUCUGUUUUUGUUUUUCCUCAGCCAUUGUAAUUAGCAAUAAGAUUUAUGCUUUAAAUAAUCUGGUAACUAGGCCCUAAUGAGAAUUAUAAAGUUCCUGAGUUCUAUGCCUAAUGAUCACAGGAAAAGCACACAGAACACUAAAUGCUAGAGAGAUGAUUUGUUGAUUUCUGGCCCAGAAAAUAAAUAAUCUUGGAGUUCAUUAUUUUGGGUAAUUAAAUAUAAAUUAAGCCAUUAAUGAAAAACUUUACAUGAAAAAGACAGGUGUAUGAAAUUUUGAAUGUGAUCAAUUGAAUGUAGACUUCUCAGACUGGCAGGGAGCACUGAUUUCAGCCACCAGCUCCCGCAAUGGUGAGGUUCAUAAAUGCCAGGCUGAUUCCAUAUCUUGGCUCUUGUGAGUAAUGCUGUGAUGAACAUGAGAGUGCAUUUAUCUCUUUGAUACACUGAUUUCAAAUUCCUUGGACAUAGAUCCAGAAGUGGAAUUGCUGAUCACAUGGUAGUUCUAUUUUUAGUUUUUUUGAGAAACCUCCAUAUAAUUUUACAUAAUGGCUAUACUAAAUUACAUUCUCAACAACAGUGUACAAGGGUUCUCUUUCCUCCACAUCCUUGACAACACUUGUUAUCUUUUGUCUUUUUGAUAAUGGCCAUUUAGUAGAUAAAGAAAAUGUGGUAUAUACACAUAAUGAAUGCUAUUCAGCCUUAAAAAAGAAGGGAAUUUUGUCAUUUGCAACAACAUGGAUGACCCUGGAGGACAUCAUGCUAAGUGAAAGAAGUCAGCACAGAAAGACAAAUAGUACAUGAUCUUGCUCAUACGUGGAAUAUAAAACAGUAGAACUCAUAAUAGCAGAGAGUAGAAUGGUGGUUAGCAGAGGCUGGGAUGGGGGCAUGGGGAGAUGUUGGUCAAAGGGUACAUAGUUUCAGUUAGACAGAGGGAAUACAUUUUUGAGAUCUACUACACAACAUGUUGACUAUAGCUAAUAAUAUACGUUGUAUUUCAAAAUUGCUAAGAGAAUAAAUUCCAAAUGUUCUCACCACAAAAAGUGGUAUGUGAGGUAAUGAAUAUAUUAAUUAGUUUCAUUUAAUUAUUUUACAUUGUAUACAUAUGUCAUAACAUCACAUUGUUAGGUUGUCAUUAAAAGUAAUGGCAAAAACCACAUAGGAUAGGCUAUAUAGCAGAUUAAACACAACUUGACAGAAUUAGUAAAACGAAGGACAGAUGUAAACAAAUUAUCCAAAAUGCAGUGCAGAGAGCCAAAGUGAAAAAGAAAUAUAUAGCAAUUCUGAACUUGUAUGUACCUAAUAACUUGACCUCAAAAUGCAUAAAGCAUAAACAGACAAUUGCAAAAGGAAAGAGACAAAUUAUUGUUAGGGUAGAUUUUGAAAUGCCUUUUUCAGUAAUUGAUAUAACAAGCAGUCAAAAAUUGAGGAAGAAUAUAGAAGAUUUGAGCAGCACAAUAUCAAGCUUGAUCUAAAGAUCAUACAUAAGACACUGUACUCAAAAAUUCAUGAAUAUAUAUUCUCCUCAGGCACCUGUGAAAUACUUAGGAAAGUUGACCAUAACAUGGGCAGGUAAGUCUAAAUACAUUUCAGAGAAGUGGUAUCAUACAGGCCACAGUCUCUGAGGAC